Molecule: long non-coding RNA, 2014 nt
Filed under: Malus domestica (apple)
Lineage: Eukaryota; Viridiplantae; Streptophyta; Magnoliopsida; Rosales; Rosaceae
Description: long non-coding RNA (MDOM_LNC008894)
Source: RNAcentral
UUAUGUGUCCGGGGUGUAACAAUAAGAUGCUUAUGUCAAUGUUGAAUAGCAUACAAGGGAAAUUAGAUACCCGUUUUAUUAAUUUGUGGAGUUUGCUGGGUUGGUAGCUUCCAUCUAUUCGAUUUGAAUUCCAGGACAAGAAAAAGCAGAUUUCAAAGGAAAAGCAAAGGAUUUUACACCCACAGCUGCGAAGGUACAUACAAUAAAGGUCGUACCCAGUGCACAAGGCUCCUGCUUUAUGCAGAGUCUGGGAGAGGUGAAUGUCGGCUAGCCUUACCCCCAUUUUAUGGGGAGGCUGCUCCCAAGUCUCGAACCCGAGACCUACCGCUCAUGGGCAAAGGCACUUGCCAUCGCACCAAAUGCGACCUCUUCGAAGGUACAUACAAUGUGAUGUUAAAUUUACCCAAUUUUUCGAUUUGGAUUUAGUUCAGAGUUUUUGGGUUUUUGACUUAGUUAAAGUAGUGAUCUUUAUGUCCGUACAGUUGUAGUGGGAAAUGAAAAUUGUCUUGUUAAUUUGUUGCACAGCAAGACAUUGGCAUAUGCAUGAAGGCUUAUGGUAUUUGUAUGAUUUAAACACACCCACAUGGUUGGGUUGUGUUGUGUUGUGUGUGCAAUGCAUAAACUCAGUUAGCUGAUUAAAUUAAAACUGAAGAGUUAUGAAAUUUGAGAUGCAUAGCAGCCUAAGUCCACAAAUAGGUUGCCGCACCAAUUCAAUAAAGUUUCAUAACACGGAACAAAGUUCCUUGACCACCACAAAGCCCUAACUUAAGGCUGAUAAUCCUUGAAUCUCAAAUAGUAUAUCACCAUGUAUAGCCGAUAAGCCAUAUUUGAAGAUUACCACAUAAUCUAUAACCUAAAAAGUUAGAAGAAAGUAAUAGAUUCUAAAAAAGGUAUGAUGAAUUGCAUCGUGUAUAUAUUUUUCUUACCAUAAGCAGCUUUUUUGGAAUUUCAUUAUUAACACUGGUCGUUAUUUAAUUUCACAACAUACCCAAAUGCAAUUCAAGGUUUGGAAUUUGAUAUAUAUUUUGAUGUGGGAAUUCAAAGCUUUUUCAGUGUUUAGUUUGUUUAUAUAUUUGAAGGAGUUAAUGUUGGAAGAACUGAAAAGAAAAACUAUUGCAAUGAGAAAUAAGCAGAUUUUUCUUUGUUAGUGUUAGAUUUAUGUAUGAUAUUUUAGAUUUUGUAAGGAAGAAGAAUUGGAAUUGAAACUUUGGCUUUUGGAUUUUCUGGGAAGAGCAAAGAAUACGGAUGAAAUGAUGUAUCUUCUUUCACACAAUGAUGGUUGGUCUGAGACCGGUUAGCAAGAUAUAAUCUUAACCAUCCAAGUAAGUCAUUUUAUGAGAUGCUUACACAUCCAAAUAAGACAACUAUAAAACUGAGAGUACAAGUUGUGGAUGCAAAUUUUCUCCUCUUCGAUCUUGGACGAUUUUGCACCUACAAAACAACUAGCACCUUAGGUUAAGGCCAAAAGCUUCACGCGCCCACGAUGAAUGGGGGGGGCUUUGGCCGAAGAACCUCCGAUACCAAAGUUAGAAAUUUAGAGAGAAAUAGUGUUUAGAGUGUUUUGGAAUUUUUGCAAGAGGUUUGGAAUGAGUGUUUGGUAGAAAUGGGUGACUAUUUAUAGGACCAAAUUGGUCCACAUUUUCAAGAAAAGGGCCGGCCCCUUUGUGUGCUUUUGGGUGAAUUUUUUGGUUUUAUUAGCCACUUUAUUGGCUAAUAAAAUACAAUAGAAAUAAAUGGGAAGUUACUAAAUUGAAUGGUUAUUAUUAUUUGGCUAAUGAAGUGGAGGAAGUAUGAAAAGAUAAGGAAAAAGAGAGGGAAUGUGGCCGGCUCCUAGAUGGGAGUUUUGGGUUUUAUUUUUGGUUUAAUUAGCCAAUUAAUUGGCUAAUUAAAUAUGAAAGGAGAUAUUUUAUUAUUUAUGGUAUUGAUUGGCUAAUUUAAAAGGGAAAGAAAGGUGGAAAAGGUAGAAAAAAGGUGAUGGAAAAGAUUUUGAAUGGGGUAGCCGGCCUUAUGUCAU